Molecule: ribosomal RNA, 253 nt
Filed under: uncultured bacterium
Lineage: Bacteria
Description: partial 16S ribosomal RNA
Rfam family: Bacterial small subunit ribosomal RNA
Source: RNAcentral
UACGUAGGGUGCGAGCGUUAAUCGGAAUUACUGGGCGUAAAGCGUGCGUAGGCGGCUAUGUAAGACAGAUGUGAAAUCCCUGGGCUUAACCUAGGAACUGCAUUUGUGACUGCAUUGCUGGAGUGCGGGAGAGGAGAGUGGAAUUCCUGGUGUAGCGGUGAAAUGCGUAGAUAUCAGGAGGAACACCGGUGGUGUAGACGGCUCUCUGGACCGUAACUGACGCUGAGGCACGAAAGCGUGGGUAGCAAACAGG